Molecule: ribosomal RNA, 273 nt
Filed under: uncultured bacterium
Lineage: Bacteria
Description: partial 16S ribosomal RNA
Rfam family: Bacterial small subunit ribosomal RNA
Source: RNAcentral
AUACGGAGGUGCAAGCGUUAAUCGGAAUUACUGGGCGUAAAGCGCGCGUAGGCGGUUUGGUAAGUCGGAUGUGAAAGCCCCGGGCUCAACCUGGGAAUUGCAUUCGAUACUGCCGAACUAGAGUAUGGUAGAGGGAAGUGGAAUUUCCGGUGUAGCGGUGAAAUGCGUAGAUAUCGGAAGGAACACCAGUGGCGAAGGCGACUUCCUGGGCCAAUACUGACGCUGAGGUGCGAAAGCGUGGGGAGCAAACAGGAUUAGAAACCCCAGUAGUCC